CAGGCUGCAACUCGCCUGCNUGAAGCUGGAAUUGCUAGUAAUCGCGGAUCAGCAAGCCGCGGUGAAUACGUUCCCGGGCCUUGUACANACCGCCCGUCACACCAUGAGAGUCGGGAACACCCGAAGUCCGUAGUCUAACCGCAAGGGGGGCGCGGCCGAAGGUGGGUCCGGUAAUUGGGGUGAAGUCGUAACAAGGUACC
RNAcentral lists this ribosomal RNA (200 nucleotides) under uncultured bacterium. Its description in RNAcentral is "partial 16S ribosomal RNA". It matches the Rfam family "Bacterial small subunit ribosomal RNA", at positions 1301 to 1500 of the family's 1533-position model. The record is from RNAcentral.